UUUAUGGAGAGUUUGAUCCUGGCUCAGGAUGAACGCUGGCGGCGUGCCUAAUACAUGCAAGUCGAGCGAACGGACGAGAAGCUUGCUUCUCUGAUGUUAGCGGCGGACGGGUGAGUAACACGUGGAUAACCUACCUAUAAGACUGGGAUAACUUCGGGAAACCGGAGCUAAUACCGGAUAAUAUUUUGAACCGCAUGAUUCAAAAGUGAAAG
This 212-nucleotide ribosomal RNA is filed under the name Staphylococcus aureus. RNAcentral's name for it is "partial 16S ribosomal RNA". It matches the Rfam family "Bacterial small subunit ribosomal RNA", at positions 1 to 206 of the family's 1533-position model. Lineage: Bacteria; Bacillati; Bacillota; Bacilli; Caryophanales; Staphylococcaceae. The record is from RNAcentral.